AGGACUGAGCACUUUUCCGUGCUAACUAAAAAAAUAAAUUGAACUAAAUCAGUUAUAUUUGAUUUUAUAAUUAUAUUUGUGUGGUUCAAUUAGUAUUUUAUAGAAUUUUUAAUUUUCAGUUUAAUUUUUUUAGUCAAAAAUUAAAAAAUAGAACGGAACUGAAAUUAGUAAAAUACAUUGUUAUGUCAUAGUAUAUAUAUGUAAUAUUUUUUCAAGUCCCCUAACCUAAUGGAGGUCCAUCAUAGAGCAGUCGACUAGAAGUAGAUAGGACUCAUGACCUGAUUUAGAACUAGUUCUUUUAUUUUGUGGAUUUACAAAUGACGAGAGCUCAUCUGAAAUGCAAUGAGAUGCUAUAAUGGGUUUCGUUUUUAAUUAUUUCCUUCUUGUAUUUCUUUAAAAUCUGCAUUUUAUUUUGUUGAAAAAUUCCAUGACGACAGAUUCAAAAUCUAUGAUUCUAAAGCAUGUGAUAUGCACUAUUUUGCAUUUUUAAUUAUUACUUGGAAUUGGAUUGUUUGAUUUUUAUUGUUCCUUUGAUAAAUUCAAAUGAUAUUGAAAAUGAUAUUGAGGUUGUAUAUUUGCAUCUCAGUUUGUUAAGAAUUGAACACAGACUAUAUAUAUAGAAUUGGUAAAAGCCUCUUUAAAUUGCUGACAAAUUUUUAUUUGUUCACUUAAACCUCUAAUAAAUUUUUUUUGUCUAUCGAAGUGCCGAACUUAUCGAUAAUGAAAAAUUGACUCAAAAUAUCUAUUUUUGUUAUACCCUACUAUUAGUCGUUUUUACUAAUCACCUAUUCACAUUUCUCCUCAUGUACAACAUAACUCAAUUCUUAAUCAAUCUCCAUUUCCACUUCCCAUGGCAAUCCUCUUUCUCUUUGAAACCAUGAUUAUCAAGCAAUCGAUUCCUCUCUAAACGUCAUUUUCAUUCUCAAUUAAAUCUUUGUUUCCUUCAAAAAUCUUAAUUUCCUUUAUAAAUGACAAUCCUCUCCUGUAAUCCCAAAUUUAAUUUUAUCAUAUUGGAAGCAACCUGUCGACCAAUGUCGACCAGACGUCCCGAGGAUCCGACCUCUUAAUGACCUGCACUGACCUGUCCGAAGUCUUGAUGACCUGUUGACCUGUAUCGACUUGUCCGAUGUCUUGACGACCUAUCGAUCCAUCUCGGUUUCAGGCUUGAUUUGUAUGUAAAUAUCUUUUCUUUUCUUUAUUGUCUUGUGCAGUAUAGGAAGCUUAGUUUGUACAGCAUAGAAAGUUUGGCUUGUAUUGUAUAUGAAAUUUUACAUUCUUGGAUUUUCCUAAACAGGGAUAAACCUAGUGUAUAUAUUGUCACAUUAUGGUCAAUAAAAGGGGGCAAGAACUUUCAUUCCCAAAUUGUGCGAGUCUCCAUUUUCACAUGGUAUCAGACCCAUGAAGGUUGAAAAGGAAUAUGGGGAGAAUUCAGGAACAAUGAAAAACUCUUUCAAUCCUUAUACACUAAAUUUCAAUGACAACCCAGGCAAUUUGAUUACUCAAGUGAAGUUAAAAGGAGAAAAUUACAAAGAAUGGGCAAGGACCAUGUGGACUGCGCUGAGAGCCAAAAAGAAAUACGACUUUAUCAAUGGAUCCAUCAAACAACCAGAGGACAAUGCACCGGAACUCGAAGAUUGUUGGAUAGUUAACUCUAUGUUGGUUCCUUGGGUAUUCAAUACUAUUGAACCAACACUUCCAUCGACUAUUUCUCCUACCGAAAAGGUGAAGAAUCUGUGGGAAGAUAUUAAGUAGAGGUUCCCAAUUAGAAAUGGACCACGAAUGCAGCAGUUGAGAUCUGACCUAGCAAACUGUAGGCAGGAUGGUCAAUCCAUUGUUUUCUAUUUUGGUAAACUCAAAACCUUAUGGGAUGAGAUUAAUAACUAUGAUCAGAUACUGAAGUGUGCAUGUGUAGGCUUCAAAUGCAAUCUUACCAUUGAAAUGGAAUGAAAGUGUAAAGAAGAAAGAGUUCAUCAGUUUCUAAUGGACUUGGAAGAAAAAGGUUAUGGUACUAUACAGUCCUAUGUCUUGAGCAAUGACCAUUUUCCUAAUUUGAAUCAUACUUAUGCUAUGGUGGUUCAGCAAGAGCGAGUGAGAACCGUGAUGAGAAGCAAAGUUGAACGAGACAACCCCAUGAGUUUUGUAAUUCAGGCCAGUGUUCGGAAUCCAGAAGGGGAUAAAGAUAAAACUUCUAUUUGCUCUCAUUUCAAUUGAAAGGGUUAUGACACUGAAAGUUAUUUUCAAUUAAUAGGCCAUCCAGAAUGGUGGGAUGCUUGGUCUCGUGGCAACUUAGGUGUGCCUGGUAGUACUCAAAAGUGUGGGACUGGAGGAGGACGUAACAAAGGAGGUGUUGUGCGUGCACACGCAGUGCAAGUAGCUGCAUUUGAUAUUGGACAAAAAGCAAUGACAAAUGCAGAUUGAAAAGGGUUGAAUGGACUAAAUGAUGAGCAAUGGGCUGCUCUGCUAGAUACGUUAAAACUCUCAUCAGAAUACUAAUGAGAGGUUAACAGGUAACUAAAGAAAUUUUCCUUGGAUUAUUGACAUAGGAGCCUCCCAUCAUAUGACAGGAACUAAGGCUUUUCUAACCGACUUACAUGACAUUGCACCAUGCUCGGUUGGAUUGCCUAAUGGGGAGAAAACAAUGGCAGUCAAAGAAGGAACCAUGUUGCUUGGCGGGAAUUUAAAAUUAUGAUGAGUUCUUUUUGUUCUCAAUCUGAAAUGCAAUCUAAUUUCUGUCUCCCAGCUUUUUAAUGAUUCAAAUUUGGUUAUGCAACUCACUAACAAAAUAUGUGCUAUAUAGGACCCAAAUUCGAGGAUUUUGAUUGGAGUGGGUGAGCAACGAAAGGGGCUUUACUUUCUCAAAGGAGUCGCUUCAGUUCAUGCUUGCAAGCUGAGUAGUGGAGGAACCUUUGAGCUUUGGCAUAAUAGAAUGGGACAUCCAUCAUUUUAGGUGACAGACUUGAUUUCAGAAACUGAUAGAUUGUAUAGACAAACUAAUAAAACUUGUGAAGUUUAUUUUCGAGCAAAACAAACGAGAAAGGCUUUCUUUUCUAGUAAUAAUAAAGCAACAGAGUGUUUUGAUUUGAUACACUGUGACUUGUGAGGAUCCUAUACAAUUAUCGCUUCUUGUGGAGCUCAUUAUUUCUUGACUAUAGUUGAUGAUUAUUCGCGUGCUAUAUAGAUUUAUUUGUUCAAUCACAAAAGUGACGAGACAUGUGUUCUUAAGAAAUUUAUAGCCAUGAUCAAAUGUCAAUUUGACAAAAGUGUGAAAGUCAGAAGGAGUGAUGUAGCUCUCGAGCAGUCAGGAAGGGGAUGCAAUAAAGAGGCCGAAAGGAGUGAUAUAGCUUCUGACCUGUUAGGAAGGGGACAAUGAACUAAGCAGGUUUCGAUUUAUUUAAAAGACUAUGUGACUCACGCGAUCAAUGUAAGCCCUUUGUCGUACUCAUCCUCUCCAUUAGCUUCUUCUUCAGAUACUCCUUACCCUAUAGCAUAUUAUGUGAGUAAUGAUAAAUUCACUACACAACAUAGGUGUUUCUUGAGAGUGAUUACUGCAGGACAUGAACCCAUCUCUUAUAUUGAAGCUUUUCAAGAUGCUCGAUGGAGAGAGGCCAUGCACACAAAAAUUCAAGCUUUGGAGGACAAUGGUACAUGGACAAUCAAGCUUUACCUUCUGGGAAGCGCACAAUUGCUAGCAAAUGUGUAUACAAAAUCAAGUAUAAUUCUGAUGGGAGUAUUGAACGAUACAAGGCACGACUGGUUAUCUUGGACAAUAAAUAAGUUAAAGGGCUUGAUUAUCAGGACACCUUUGCACCCACAAUGAAAAUGGGUAGGGUCCAUGCUUUUCUUGUAGUCGUAGCUACCAAGAAUUGGGAAUUACAUCAAAUGGACGUCUAUAAUGAUUUUUUACACGGUGACUUGCAAGAAGAAGUCUACAUGAAAAUGCCACCCGACUUUGCUCUUCCUCUAGCAAAGUCUGUCACCUCUGCAAGUCUCUCUACGAUUUGCUCCAAGUUCCUCGUUGUUGGUUUGUCAAGCUGGCUGUUUUUUACGAGUCUAUGGAUUUCAACAAUUCUAUACAGAUUACUCCUUGUUCAUUCUUCACGUUGGAUCGCUUCCUUUGUUUGUCUUUAUUAAUGUUGAUAAUCUCAUUAUCGCAGGCAAUGAUCUUUUUGCUGUUCAAAAAUUCAAGGAGUACUUGAGCCGCUGUUUCCACAUGAAAGUCUUGAAAACCCUGAAAUUCUUCUUAGGACUCGAGUUAACCCGCACCGCUAAAGGCCUUUUUCUGUGUCAACAUAAGUAUGCCUUAUAUGUAAUUUUUUAUGUGGGUUUGUUAGGUUCAAACCAACUGCCACUCCUCUAGAACAAAGUCAUAAGCUGGCUUUUGCGAAGGAUGCUGCCUUUGCUACUCCUACUUCCUAUCUGCGCUUGAUGAGUCAUCUUAUUUAUCUCACUAUUACUCAGCCCAAAUUGUCCUACUAUGUGCAUAUUCUUGCACAAUUCAUGCAAUGACCACUGCAGAUUCAUUGGGAGGCUGCUCUCCGAGUAGUCCGUUAUCUCAAAGGCCAGCCUAGCCAGGGCAUCUUGAUGCUUGCUAAUUUUAACCUUGCCUUGACCGCUUACUGUGACUCUGACUGGGCUAGUUACUCUUUGACCCGCAGGUCUCUUAUUGGCUAUCUUGUUCUUUUGGGUGACUCUACCAUUUCUCGGAAGACUAAGAAGUAGCUGACUGUGUCCCACUCCUCUGUGAGGCUGAAUACAAGUCUAUGAUCACUGCGCCUAUAAACUUAAAUGGUUUAAAGGCCUCCUAAUCUCUCUUGGAGUGUCUCAUACUAUGCUUAUGCAAUUAUAUUGUGAUAGUCAAGCUGCUCUGCACAUUACAGCCAAUCUUGUCUAUCAUGAACGCACUAAACAUAUCGAAGUAGACUGCCACUUUAUUCGCAAUGAAAUACUCAGUGGCAACAUUCGUAUGGCCGAUGUUCGUAGUUCCAUCUAGUCGGCUGAUAUCUUCACCAAGGUCUUGGGCAAUGAUCAAUUUCAUUUUCUCCUUGGCAAGUUGGGCAUUCGGAACCUUCAUGCUCCAUCUUGAGGGGUAUUAUAAGUGACCUGCCAACCAAUGUUUACUAGACAUCCUGAGAGUCCAACCUCUUAAUGACCUGUAUCGACCUGUCUGAAGUCUUGACGAUCUAUCGACCUAUACCAGUCUUGAUGACCUGUCGACCUAUACCGACCUGUCCAAUAUCUUGAUGAC
Molecule: long non-coding RNA, 5245 nt
Filed under: Manihot esculenta (cassava)
Lineage: Eukaryota; Viridiplantae; Streptophyta; Magnoliopsida; Malpighiales; Euphorbiaceae
Description: long non-coding RNA (MESC_LNC011581)
Source: RNAcentral